Molecule: long non-coding RNA, 7936 nt
Organism: Gadus macrocephalus (Pacific cod)
Lineage: Eukaryota; Metazoa; Chordata; Actinopteri; Gadiformes; Gadidae
Exons: 2
Source: RefSeq, a predicted model, not a curated record
UUACGCCGCCGUUGUCACCGUCUACGGUUUUUAAGCGGGACAGGAGAUGAUCAUGUUUCUCAGAUGCAGGCAAGCAUUAGGCUUAUCGGAUGCGGGGAGGAAGGUGACGACAUCAGGGGUGUGUGUGUGUGUGUGUGUGUGUGUGUGUGUGUGUGUGUGUGUGUGUGUGUGUGUGUCCGUCCACCAGUGUGACACACACAAUUUUGAAAUACAAGUCUGAGUCAUAGUUCGCCAAGUACCCACUCGCUCACCACCUUGUAGGAAGAAAGUCCUUUGAUAUAAUUUAUAAUAACGAAUCAGAAAUUCAGUCCGAUGUUGGCUUAUCGUGGUCAGCCAUUCAGGACAGCAAAAAGGUUGACACGCAAAUUACCCAGACAUUCUCCAUGUCCUAAAUAAUGCUUGACUUGAUACUUAGAUUUAGACACAGAGUCUGAGUUCAGGGCUUAUGGGGCGGGGUGGGGGGACAGCGUUUGCGUUCUUUCCUGUUUCUCAAAUGUCUUCUCGUGAGUUGGACGCUGAACUUCCCCUUAUUCUGGCAGCUGCUUCUCUAAUCCCCGCCAGCGGAGGGUGUCCUGUAUGCAGGGGUCAUUCUCCGUGCCAUGCAGGGUUACCGGUCGCCAGGGUUUAGGACGAGUCUCCGCAUCUCAGUGCUCCAAUCAACUUUGAUUAUUUUUUCCGCCUCACUAUUCGAUUCGUAAUCAAUAACGGAUUCAAGAUUCAUUCUCGAUUCAUUCGACUUCGGGGAGGGGGGCUAUUCUCAGGAUCUACUCCAGUGUGCUUCUGUGGGAUAAGAAAAGUGGUGAGGGCAAAUGAAAGCAUGAAAGCAGAGUUAUUGUGUCUACGACUAUGUCGUUUUUAUGUUUGAAAGAGUUAUGUAUAUACCGAAUAUAAUGAUGAAAAACGCACAAAAGUGAAACUAAGGCAAAAAAAAUUUGGUAGUCUUUUUAUCCCCCUAACCUCUACGUCUUCCCCUCGUGAUGAGCGAUUAGAAAACAAGGCCUCAGAUUUGAUGAUGCCGUUGAUGGGAUCGACAAGCAGUGACUAACAGUUUUGGGCUGACCAUGCUUGAUCGUGGGGUUGACGGAGUCUCCCUCCCUCCCUCCCUCUCUCUCUGUUUCUCACUCUGCGUCUGUGAGACCCCCCUAACCGUUGAGCAGGGACCCAGACGUGGGCACAUGAGGUCAAGCCUCUUAAAGACCUCCUCGUCUCUGUCCUCCUCCUCCUCCUCGCCUCUUCGUCCUCCUAACCUGGUGUAAGUCAUCACCAUCGUCGCGACCGGCUGGGUGCCAGGUUCAGUUGUGCAAAAGCAGUACCGCGUGGGUCCUUCCCCAUCCUCUCCCCUGCUCAUCCCCACGUCUUACACUCACUCACUCACUCCUUCACCAUUGUUCUCUGCAAUUCAAUCAGUUGAAUUAUGUGGGUCUCCCGAGCAGUGUGCUCGAGAGACCCACAGACACACACACCUUCCAUUUUAUUUCCUUAUUCCUUCUCUGCAGGGUCUCCUACAAUCACCCCACAAUCUUUUUUUGCACUUGACACACACACACACACACACACACACACACACACACACACACACACACACACACACACACACACACACACACACACACACACACACACACAUCCCAAAGUCCCUCUCUGGCGUCUGUUGUUUCUCUCUCCUUCUCUCGGGUGGUGUUAGAACAACAGCCCCGGUUCUCCCGCAGGUCCUCACCUCUUCCUGCUGUGCGCCUGUAAGGCACCACAUGACGCGGUAUCACUCAUUCCCGUUCCCCGUGGAUGACUCUGCACCAGCCCACAGAGCUGCUGCAGAGUGCAGAUGUCAAAACGGGACUUUUUAAAAUGAUGGCUCAUAGAAUGGGCCAUGAUUGAUCUAUGAGGCGUACUGGUCUCUUAGUCAGUCUAUGUACAUGGAUUAAAAUAAAACACUGCUGAUGGAUCAUGAAUUAAUAAGGCGUUAGAAUUUGGAAUGAGAAACAGGCAUGUGAACAAUGUCAUCGUUCAAAGCGCGAGCCCCUGCCAAGCAAAUCAUUUGGCGUUCUUCGUAACGAUCUUUGAGAUGUCGGGAUUGCCAAUUACCAUUCCCAGUCCCCCCCGUCGUGUGUGUGUGUGUGUGUGUGUGUGUGUGUGUGUGUGUGUGUGUGUGUGUGUGUGUGUGUGUGUGUGUGUGUGUGUGUGUGUGUGUGUGUGUGUGUGUGUGUGUGUGUGUGUGUGUGUGUGUGUGUGUGUGUGUGUGUGUGUGUGUGUGUCCCAUCUGAAUCCAUGCACUGUUGCCAGUAGCCGCUCUCCAGCCGUGCCAGGCUGUUUUGUGACCGCAGUAGGACAUCACUGUUGUGGUGGUUUGUUUUAUAAUGAUAUGCUUCCAUGAACAAGCCUUCCACAAUCCAAGUCACUCAUACAGAUCUGGAUUACAGGCAUUCACCAGAAACACAUCUCUCUCUGCCUGUCUCUCCCCCAUGUACCCAAGAAAUAACAGUGGCUUUUGCAAACCGUGUCAACAAAGCAUGUCAAUGCUGUAUAAUAACAAUAUGUGAGGGGUUCAUUGCAUUGCCCUGGUGCUGGUGCAAACCGUUUCUGUAACGCGACUGUGGUGUGUGAACAGCAAGUUUAGAGGAGUGUGUUUGCUGGCAUGGUGCACUUGUUAGAGCGUGAUCGACCCUGCAAAACAAUGGUGGGUGCUACACUAACGGCGACACCAAAAGCAGGGCUUCAGUGUGCUCACACACACGCACGCACGCGCGCACACCGAAAACAUGGAGCUGUCAAAAGAAUGUGAUCUAUUGGUGCGUUCCAGAGCCCAUCCAAACAGGAUGUGGGACUUAUCCUACCUGAACUGUACUAGCUCCUACUUGGUGAAGUGGGGGUAGGUCGAUCACCCCCCAGUUCGAUAGUAGGAGGUUCCAUUUCGACGGUGGGAUGUUCCACUUCGACAGGCAUUCCAGUGCACUUUUCUUAGUUGGAGGUAGGAUAAGUCCCACGUCCCACUGGUUUGGAUGGGCUCUGGAACGCACCAUUUCAGCACAGUAUUGCGACAUUCAGAAGCUGCUGAAUUAUUGACCUGGUGAUCAUACAUCUCAGGUCAAGAGUGGCAAACUAACUAACGCCAAAUCUGGUGGGUGUCUUUAUAUUAAUACGAGACUGAGAUGACCUCAAUUUAAUGUAUUGUGAUAUGAAUAUAGCAUAUUUUGUAAUAUGACAUAUAUGACAUUAUUACGGCAUAUAUUCAUAUGGCCACAUGUCAAUAUCGUAUGUUGUUCACAUCCUGUAGUGGUCAAUGAUGACUUCGACCAACGUCACCCUACAACCACCCACAUCGUCUCCGUGACGACGGCCCAGGCCUGCUUUUAAAAGGCCUGGAACAUGAACUGAAUCCGCCACACACUGAAUAUUCAUCUCAACCCUGUGUGUGUGUGUGUGUGGCAGGAUCUGGGCAGGAUCUGCUAGUGGGUGUCAUUCGUUGACUGAUAUCCAAAUCCCAGUCCACAGGCGGGUUUUGCAGUGGAGCCCUGACAAAGCCUUUGACUCAUCAUUUGAAUGAAGUGUUUCUGGUGGUUCUGUCUCGGAGCAUAUUGCCAGUAUGGGAAACAAAGCGGGAAAACCUCUGCACUGUCGUUGUUAUUCGUCCGUGGACUCCUCUUGAUCCUAGAGUGAGAAGCUGUGGAAUACAUUUAGGGAUGAAAGUGCAUCUACAACGAAAGUGCCUCACGAACAGCGUUGCAUGCUUGUGUGCAGAAGAGUUAUUUAAGGAAUCAGUCAGGGCUAGAUUUUUAUUUCUAUGUGUAUCCUUGAUGAGCCGUGGUGCUCCAGUGCGUCGUAGGGGAUGUGGUAGGCUGCAUCACAUUAAGGUGAUGUUUGUGUGAAACAACAACAAUAACACAUCGGCUACCGUGAUGUUCUCGGAAGAGUUGGCUCUUCGUGUGUGUGUGUGUGUGUGUGUGUGUGUGUGUGUGUGUGUGUGUGUGUGUGUGUGUGUGUGUGUGUGUGUGUGUGUGUGUGUGUGUGUGUGUGUGUGUGUGUGUGUGUGUGUGUGUGUGUGUGUGUGUCAUGCGCCAUGCGCGCGGUGCAGGUGUAACUUGGGUGGAUUGUCUCUGCGUGGUAAUCCCUGAGCGGCUCAGCUUACCAAACUCUCUCUCUGCGGUGUCAUCUCACGUCCCCUGAUACAGUUAACACACCCUGACCUUGACGCAGCGCCGGGGAUACGUGUGACUGUAGAGUAGGCCGCAUAACGCGUCCGAGGACCCCCCCCCCCAGAACCAAACGACAAGUACAUCCCGCGUUUACGCUGAUGUCUCGGUGAUGUAUUUCGGAUAAUGCAACAGCCCCAGCAGAGGACGGCAAUGCGGCCACGAGGUGUGAUUCCCCAUCAGCUUGUUUUCAUGCGCAUUUUUUUUUAAUUAGCGCAUAACCCGCCAAAAAAAGCGGAGUGCUUUUUCUUUAUGGCUGAGGGAGGGGCAAGCCGGUGUAUUGGUGAAAGGUAAACGCCACCAAGGUCCGUGGGAGCAGAUUCAGCGAAUAGAGGCACACGAGCGAAUAAAUGAUGGAGUACAGAAAUCGCGUAACUUGAAUGUCACUCAGGCUAAAGCUCGUGUGCACACAGGGCUGUUUCCAGUCUGCCAAGAGCACAUGGCUCACAUACCCCCCCGGAGCAUGAGCAUCUUGCUGUCAACUGGUGUGUGUGUGUGUGUGUGUGUGUGUGUGUGUGUGUGUGUGUGUGUGUGUGUGUGUGUGUGUGUGUGUGUGUGUGUGUGUGUGUGUGUGUGUGUGUGUGUGUGUGUGUGUGUGUGUGUGUGUGUGUGUGUGUCAAUACACAAUGUGUUGGUCCAUAACCAAGGAAGCCAUUGCGAUCUUCCGUUGUGAUAGGGGGUUUCCUAUUUCCCCCUGAUAGCCAAUCCCGCGGGGCAAGUGGGUCCAAAGGGGGGGGGGGGGGGGGGGGAGAGAGAGAUGAAUUACAGUGUCUGAAACUGCUCCGGAUUAGGAGUUUGCCAUGCUCAUUAAUCUGUAAUCGCGUUAAUGAAGGGGUCAAUUGUAUCUGUGUUUGUGUGUGCGUGCACUCGCCUGGUCUUGUGCUUUGUAUGUGUGUGUGUGCACGCGUGUCGGGAGCGACGUUUCCACGAGGGAUCGUGUGUCACGCUGUGUGUAUUGGAUCGGAAACGGCAGCGGCGAUCGAACAAGGAUCUUCUAUUGCAGGAAGGCGCUCGACACACACACACACACACACACACACACACACACACACACACACACACACACACACACACACACACACACACACACACACACACACACACACACACACACACACACACACACACACACACACACACACACACACACACAGGCGUCCCGGAUCCACGUUGGGCCUUGAUGCAACACAUGGAGCCCAUGUGUGUGUCCAGACGGGAUAACAUGUGUGGGUGCUUGGGGAGUCCCGGUCCCUCAGUGUGUCCUUGCCUGGGGCUGUAGGGCUUGGAUGAGAGAGGGAGGGAGAUGGGGAACAAGAGAUAGGUUAAGAACAAGAGAGAGGAGUGGUCGCGGGAGGGGCCAGCGGAAAUAAGCGUGAGGUCACUUGUUGUUGUGGUUCUCUCCGCCCGUCCCCUGUGAGACGGCUGGGCGUGGCUCGGACGGUUGCCCGCGGCAACAAGGACAUCCAAGUGACCAAUCAAAUCAAGGAGAGGGAGGAAAAAGGGAAAGAGAGGCCGCUUCCUUUUUCGUCUGUCUAUUCCUGUGUCAAUGUAUAAAUACAUGCAUCAUAUAUUCAUCUACACAUCAGAUUUCAUAUCUGACACCCAGUAGUAACACGAGGAAUUGGAGAAGGAGGAAUUGUAAAGUGGGAGUGGUUGUGAAAAUGCUAGAGAUGUGAAAUAUGUGGAGGAUAGUGGAAAGGGGAUUAAACAUCUUCUAAGGGAGAGAGAGAGACACACACACACACACACACACACACACACACACACACACACACACACACACACACACAGUCAGUAGGUGCAGGAAGGUUGCUUUAAGAACAGCGAGUGCGAGAAUGAGGGGAGGAUUCGUGAGGGAGAGCGGGUUCUGGGGGUGACGAGGGCUACUUGGUGUGAUGGAGCAGGCGUCGUAAGGGGAAGGACGACAGCAGACGGCAAGGCAAUGUCCAACAGGCCGUAAAGAGCUGUGGAGCAGGGAGGAGGAGGGGGCUUUACCGACUGCUUUCCCCCUGUCUGUCUCUCUCGCUCCGCUUGUCGCUAUCAAUGGUGGAGUUAUGCGUUAUGGAGUUGAGUCUGGAUCCCCUGUCUUAAGUCUCCCUCGUUCUCCCCCCUCCUCCCUCUCUUUAUUAAUCAUUUUCAACCUCCUCGCUUCCUCAGUCUCUCAAUUUAAAGCCAAAUUUUUUGUUAACGGUUUAGUUGCAUCUUGUGUUUUCAUUCGCUCUCUCGUUCUGUGUGUGUGUGUGUGUGUGUGUGUGUGUGUGUGUGUUACUCUUUCUAGGUCUCUCCCCCCUCAGAGGGAUGUAGAGCUAUCUAUCUAUUCAUCAUAAUAAAACCCUAUACCUUAAAAGCCCCGUAUCAGUGUCUGUCUACUCCGCAGCCCUGAUUGGCUAGCCAGCCCCUCCGAGGCAGACACCGUCCAUCUCUGUCCCGUUGGCCCCAUUACGGAUCUCCUCCCACCCUCACUCUUGAGCCACGAUGGCUCCGGCGUGGACGAACCGUUCCCAAACGCUUUUCCACAGUUAUGUUCACGAGCACUUCGGCACUUGAAGGAUCACCCUGCAAGGCUUUUUAGUGGCGGUCUCUCUCCCUGCGGUUGGUUAUGUUUCCUGCCUAAAAAGCGUCACUUUGGCCGCCAUUUUGGAUUUGAAACAUUUCGGUGUCACCGCCAUGAUCCGUGUGACUUGUCCCUUGUCCAGACGGCUGGCGUUUAUUUGAAACCGGAGUAGCCUCCUGUUAUCAGAGGAACAAAGCGCUGUGCUUAAGAACGCCCCCGGGCUCAACGGGCCAAUGACCCCUUUUCACAGAUGGUCAGUAGCAGUGUAAAUGAACUUCCUUUUCCUGUAGCUCAAACCUUGGGCAAGUUUAAUUGACGUCCGUUGCACCACAACCAUGGUCAAUGUACCUUUACUUGACUAGUUAUGUCUGUACUGGUGCAUUGCCAUGCCUAAAUUGAAUGGACUCAUAAUUAAUGCUAGGAGCCACACCCGUGUUAUUCCAACUGUAUAAAGGGGUGAUUACGUUAUCUGUUGCAAUGACCGCUCCAGUAUCACCCCCCCCCCCCCCCCGCCCACACACACACUCACACACGCACCGUUUCAUGAUACAGCGAUGUAUUUCUGUCCCGCAUAUAUUUAUUGGUCCCUGAAUGCAACACUACCUCUCAAAGUGGGAGCCAUCACUAUUCCACUGUUUAAAACUGAGUAGCUUACCAUUUGUCUACAUCUGCGUCGGUUCGCCUUUGACUUUGUUCUGAGGCGAACAUCGGUUUUAAUGCAUGAUCGUGCGGUUGUCCCUCGUGUUUGUGAAUGGGAUGCGUGCGAUCAAGUACUUUGUUGUUCUUUAUGUAUUUCUGUCCUUGUAUUCAUUUUGUUGUCUUUAUGCUACGCACAUCGCAAAGCAGUGUCACACGCCUAUGCACAGAUGGCUAGUCUAGCCCUAAGGUGCUGACACGUGCGUCAUGCAAAAGGAUACGCACAUACACACAUCCACACACACACUCUUAAUAAACCCACAACCCAUGCCCGCGGGUCAGUUGGGACCAAACGCCGAAGAUCCUUUCAAGAUUGGCUCUCUGAGUGUGUGUGCAUCUUGUGGACACACACACACACACACACACACACACACACACACACACACACACACACACACACACACACACACACACACACACACACACACACACACACACACACACACACACACACACACACACACACACACACACACACACACACACACACACACACAAA